Brassica rapa (field mustard) is the source of this 5301-nucleotide long non-coding RNA. RefSeq lists it as uncharacterized. The record is from RefSeq and is a predicted model, not a curated record. Lineage: Eukaryota; Viridiplantae; Streptophyta; Magnoliopsida; Brassicales; Brassicaceae.
GAAACAUACUUACCAAAGGAUAAACAAUUUCAGAAAACAGACUUUGGUUUUGGCAGCCAACACGGCUACAAGCCCUACUUAUCUUCGCGAAUCCUCCAUCUCCCCAAGUAGUGCCCCAUGAAUUUUGUAUUAUCCAAUAAUGAUUACCAUUUAAGCUGUUGUAGCCCACCAGUAAAACCACGUGAUCACCUCUAGGUUUCUUAGACGUUUUCGGUCCAUAGUAAAUCCCCUAAAAUUUACACACACGCAAACAUAAUUAAUAUUAAUGUUUAACAUAUCAAUUGAACAAUUGAUUAAACAAUACAUAACUUACUUCUCCAAUAUGAGAUCUUAACUCAUCUGUAGCUUGUAAACUCACUAUUACAGGACCAGUAUCCACUAAUUUGAUCAACUCUUCUUCGUUGACCUCUGUAAUUGACACCAGAUCCUCAAUCUUCAAAACAGGUACUUCUUUUCUCUAGCAAAAAAAAAACAGUUAAAUACAAAAAACUUAAUUGUUAAGAUAUAUAAAUCAUCUUACCAUUAUCUUUCUAGCGCAUGGAUCCUUUUUGUUUGUCCUCUUUGCGCAUUCACAAUCUUCUUUCCGAAUUACACCUUCAUUUUUCAAAAAGCUUCUUAUUUCCUUAAAGUUCUUGACAGCUCCUUGGGCCUUCUUUUUUUCGAUGCUGUCAAAAAGGUGUUUAUCCGAAAGUGAAAUAUCCAAGCCAAACAGGAUUUUCACUCUUGCUUCUAGAGAUUUGUUGGUGCUGUGAACCCAACAUGUUUCUGUAUAAAAAUAUUAAAACAUUUGGGGUGUAUAUGAUUCACUUACUUUAUUAUAAUUAUACAUACGGACAUUGCGUAUUUUAAGUAUGAGAUAAAAGAUAUAUACCCUUGUUUCCUUGGUUAGUAACCUCCUUAUAAACAGCACCUUCAGUUUUACUCCAAUCUCUUGAGUAGUAUUUAGCACCUCUAACAUCCUAAAAACAUAUAUAUUUUGAUAAAUAACAGCAUAACAUUAGGGGUUGAUAAAAAAAACAGCAUAACAAUAGGGGAGUUUAAUAAAAAUUGAAAAGAUAGAAAUAUAAUUAAACGAAAAUAAUCACUUACAGGUGGAUAGUGUGGAUCACAGCUUGUCAAGCGCUUAAUAAAAAUAAAAUCUUAUGUUAAUAAGAAUACAUAAUUCCAGAAAAUGAUUGUUUAAAACAGUGUUAGAGAUUUACCACGGUAUUUGCAGUAACAUUUUCCACUUUGGAUUUCUUUUUCCCUCCUUUUGAUUUUUUGUCUUUGCUUCCACCAUACUGUUGACUAUCCCCUUCCAUGACCUAAUUAAAACAAAAAUAAUAAUAAUAUUAGAACCUUUAAAUAUGAACACUGAGUUCAAAAGAGGAGAAAACAAAAUCAUUUUUUCGGUGAGAAAAAUCUAAGAAAAGAAACGAAGAAAAUAAAUGUAACAAAACAUAAGCGGUUUUCUCAAAAACCUUUAAACAUUAACGUUGAGUUCAAAAAAAAGAAAAGAAAACUAAAUCAAAUCAGUUUUCUCUGUGAUAAACCAGGAAAAGAGAUGACGAACAUAAAUCAAACAAAGCAUCAGUGGGUUUUCCCAAAAUAAAUUUAAACAUGAACUUUGAGUUCUUCAAAAGAGAAGAAAACCACUUUGUGAGAAUCCAAGAAAAUAAAGGAACGAACAUAAAUACAUUUAUUGAAGUGGAGAUGACACCGGUGUUCUUAGAAAAGGAAAAAAAGGACAAAAGAAAUACUUACUUGAGUAGAGUAGGCGAUGGUUUUCUUAGAAAGAUCAGAAAUCAAAAUAAGGAUUUUCGCUAGAGAAUACUGGGUUUCUGAGAAAGAUGAGAAAGAAAAUAGGGAUCUUCUCUCCUGGUUAAUAGAUGAGAGAGACACAGAGUAUGUGACACUGCACUGUAUCAUAUAUAUUUAUCUGUGUACUGUUGGUCAUCCAUCAUACAAGAAGAAAAAGAUUGUUUUUUGUUCAAUAAAUGUAGUUUUUUUACAUAGUCCUAUAUUAUGAUCUUAAUUACUCUAAAGAAUACGGAAUAAAUACUUUUAAUAUUUAUUUUUAAUGACCCAUAUACGUAUGCUACUACUAUUUAAUUUAGUGAGAUUAAAAACUCAAAAAGUUGUAAAAUGAUAGAACUAAUAUUAUUAAUUAGGUGUUCUCAUGUUUUUAUAUUUGAAUGCAUCAAACAUAUAAUCACUAGCUGCAACAUUCAUACAUUUAUGAUUAAUUCUGUCAUCCAUUAGACCAAAAAAAUUCUGUCAUCCAUGUUAUAGACUUUCCUAUUUAUAUUUCUGUUGAAUAUUUUAACCAUUUAAAUUUUAAUUAGUACUCAAAAUUUAACCCUUCAACAUAAAAUAACGUUAUAAAUUGUCAUGUGAUCUUUUAAUUUAUUAUGUGCAUGGAUGGUCCCAUGUGAUACGAUGUUAUUUAGGGCACAAGGAUUAAUGAGUUAAAAUAUUAUUUCCAGUAAAAUAGUUUCGAAAAGAAAAGGACAUAUUAUCCACAUAUCGUGCAGCCAUAUACAUGUGUAUUGUCACCAUAUGCAUAAAAUGUAGGUAUUCUCUCAUAUGGAAUACCAUAUCAAUGUUUAUCAUUUGGUAUUGUCGUUUUUGUUACUUUAAACUCCAGAGUCAAUUUAUAUGCGUAGUACUGUAUCUGUAUAUUGUGGUUCAUUUAUCGCACAUGACUUUUUUUUUUUUUUUAAACUCGCACAUGACUUAUGUGUGUGAUUUAAAAAUACAUCAUGCUCGUCCAUCCGAUAACAUGCUGAUUUGAAAGUUCACAGAAAAUAAAACGCAUUACUUAUCUACGAAAGUACUACGGUGACUAAAGAUAAAAUGAUUAUCGAAAUUAUAUGAUAGUCCACAAUUUUGCUGACACUAAUCAAAUGAUAGUUUUUGGGGUAUUUCAAUAAUUUAAUGGGUAUCUGUCCGAUUAUAUGUAAAUUUGGAUAUGCUUAUUACUUACAGAUUUGUAGAACCUAAAAAAAAAUAUAUCAAAAGUUUGUUUAAGAUGUGAAGUUAGUAGGCAUCUAUGGUCUCUGAUCACAAGGCGGCUAGGAUACAGAACCUUCACCUUCCACACUUGGACAGCUUUCACUUCCUGGCUGGGUUCUCAACACCCCACCCACUCAUCUACCUUGCGUCGUCUUGCGGCCCAAGCAACAAUCUACAUCCUCUGGUAUGAGCGCAAUAGCCGUCUCCACAACAACAUGUCAUCAUCACCAGCGGCUCUGUUCAAGCAACUUGACAGGCUGAUCAAAGAUUCCAUUCUUGCUCGACGGAAGAUAAAGGCUUUCGGUGGGCUCCUUAGGCGCUGGCUUGCCUUCGCCUAGACCUCUGUUUUAUCAUCUGUUGCAUUUUGCUAAUCUAGUUCAGGUUUACACCAUGUUUUUUCUCUUUUUGCCAUGGUGCUCUCCUGUAAGCUUUAACCUUUGUAUUACACAACCUGCCCAUUCUAGUAAUGAAAUUCAUAUUCUUAGCAAAAAAAAAAAAGUUUGUUUAAAGUUGACGUACAAAAAUAGUUCCCCCAAAACAAAAUACAAUCAAACUAGAGUACAGAAAUAAUCCAGAAUAUGAUCAUCAAGUUUUCCUUUUGUUCACUUGUAAAUGUAGUAAAAACUUUCCUACAAUCUACAUUUAGGAAAAUGCUUGUUUACUUGCCAUCUUCAGAUAAUUUCUUUGUGCCCCCUAUAAUCAUAAUUCAUAUCAAUAUAAAACCUCUUCUCAUUCUCAACUUAAACAGCAGCUUAAGCCAUUUAUUUUCUUAUUAAUGUUCAAUUAAUUAUUAUACAUUAUUAUUAUAUAAUAUUGAUAAUACAAUAAAUAUUAUUAUAAACUACAUUGAAAUCUUUUUAAAUUAAUAAUGUUGCGCACUAAAACUAUUUUUUUUAUUAUUAAUUUAUAGAUAUAUUAAUUUAUUAAUAUAAUAAUUAAACAAAAAACUCAAUUUGGAACUAGAAAAUUAUAUUAUUUUAUAGAAAUUUUUAGUGUAUAUUAAUUUAUAGAGUAUUAAUUUAAAGAGGUUAUACUGUAUUGAUAAAUAGUUUCAUAACAUCAUUUAAUCUAUCAGUAGUACAUGCAUGGUUCCGUUGUGGAUACGAUGUUGUUUAGGGCACAAUAUAUAGUGAUAUUAGUUUCCAAUAAAAGACGUUUCUAAAAGAGAGACAAAUAUUUGAACAAAAAAUAAAUAAAAAAGCGAGAGACAAAUUAUAACUGCAGCUGCCACCUCAAAAGGUAAUCUUGAUCCCCAUAUGGGACCAUAUACAUAAAUAAGUAUACUCUGACAGGGAUAUUAAACUAUCAAUGCCUGAUUUUUCUUUAUGUAUAUUAUCGAUUCUUGUUACCUUAAUUCCUGAUUUUUUUGUCAACCUAAUUCCUGAAUUAUUGCUCAAAAUACUAGUUACGUUUUCAAUUUUAACUAAAAUCAUCUAGUAUCUUCAUUACUUAGACAUUUUGGAUUAUAACACACUUACUUUUUAAAUAACACACUUACUUUUUAAAUACAUAUGCUGUAUUACCAUGGCCCAUGGGCAGAGCAAAGAAUGCUUUACUGACACGAGCCUGCCCAGAGACAAGCGUAUGUAACCAAUGACUGUCAAUAAAACGUUAAUAUAUAAAGUUAUAUAUAGUAAUAUAUAUUCGUUUGACCAAAAAAGUAAAUAUGUAUUCAAAAUCUUAAAUCGGUUCUUGAGAAGUUAUAACCCAAUCAAUCACGUCAGAUUAUGUGUGCUAAUUACAAAAUAAAUAAUGUUUCCAAAGAUUCACAAAACAAGAAAUUCACCAGUAAGGAAACUUUAUGUUCCUACUUUCUAAUUUGAUCAUAAUAUUUUAAAAAGCCAAACAAAAGCGUAUAUCCCUUGAAUUCUAUCAGUAUAAAUACCGGUCUUUCAUAUAAUAAAAGUCUCUAAUUGCUAAACAAGUUCAUAAACAUAUAUAGCAUAUAUAUGUCUCAUAAAACUGAGGAGUGAGGAGCUCAUAUAAUGGCUAAACACACUACUAAUCACAUCUUCAACCCUACUCCAUUUUUAACUCUCAAUUAUGGAGUAAAAUCUUCUCCAACUCCACUCUAUAUUCAACUCCAAAAUGGAGUAAUGACUAGGGUUACUCCAUUUAUAAAGUAAUCUUACUCACUACUCCAUUUUGGAGUUGAACUUUUUAUAUUUAUGAAAUAGUCCUUUUAAUCUUUAAUGUUUUUAUUUCAUACUUAAAAUAAUAUAAUAACAUGAAAAAAUAUAAUACUCCGCAAAAGAUUACUUUAUAGUUUACAUAAAAUAUGCAUAAACUCAUAAAAGUCAAAACUAA